RNAcentral lists this ribosomal RNA (303 nucleotides) under Tetraneuromyia hirticornis. Its description in RNAcentral is "partial 16S ribosomal RNA". The record is from RNAcentral. Lineage: Eukaryota; Metazoa; Arthropoda; Insecta; Diptera; Cecidomyiidae.
GUUUAUAAUUUAAAUCUGGAAUGAAUGGUUGAAUGAUAUAUUAACUUUAUAAAUUAUUUAAAUUGAAUUUUAUUUUUUAGUUAAAAAGCUAAAAUGUAGUUAAGGGACGAGAAGACCCUAUAGAUUUUUAUAAUUAUUGUAUUUAUAUAAUAUAUAAUAUUUAUAAUAUAAUAUAAAUAAUUAUUUUGUUGGGGAGAUAAUAAAAUUAAUUAAACUUUUAUUUUUUUAUUUCAUAAAUUUAUGUAUAAUUGAUCUUUUAAUAUAGAUUAUAAAUUUAAAUUACCUUAGGGAUAACAGCAUAAU